AUGGAAUCCGCCGCCUGGCGUGAGUUACUUGACUGUGUUGCUCUCCAUGAACCCUUCGUGGAUGGUGGUCCUGACCUAGUGCGAUGGCGCCUUGAGCCUUCGGGCCAAUUCUCCACCAAGUCGCUCUACCUGGCCAUCGCUCCAUCUGCCGCCCCACUCCCUCUUUCGAUGGUUUGGUCCAUCCGCCUGCCUCUGAAGAUCCGCAUCUUCAUGUGGCAAUGGAUUCGUGGUCGGAUCCCGUCCGGGUUGGAGGUUCGCAAGCGCAAUGGCCCGGGCACUGGCUUAUGCCCGCUCUGUGGGGUCCCCGAAGACUUGAACCACAUUUUCUUCUCCUGCGUUUCCGCCCAGUUCCUUUGGAGCUGUUUUCGCGAAGUGGUCGGUGGAGAUUGGUGCCACACCAACUUCCCGGACUUAUUUGCCGAACUCCAGUUGUCCCCGCGACUUCUCGCCACAUUAGGUGGCUUGAGAUUGGGGUCCUCGCCUGGACCCUCUGGACUGUCCGCAAUAAGCUCGUGA
This 516-nucleotide ribosomal RNA is filed under the name Triticum aestivum (bread wheat). Its description in RNAcentral is "partial small subunit ribosomal RNA". Lineage: Eukaryota; Viridiplantae; Streptophyta; Magnoliopsida; Poales; Poaceae. The record is from RNAcentral.